UACGUAGGUGGCAAGCGUUGUCCGGAUUUACUGGGCGUAAAGAGCGCGCAGGCGGUCGUUCAAGUCGCGUGUGAAAGCCCCCGGCUCAACUGGGGAGGGUCACGCGAUACUGAUCGACUCGAAGGCAGGAGAGGGUAGUGGAAUUCCCGGUGUAGUGGUGAAAUGCGUAGAUAUCGGGAGGAACACCAGUGGCGAAGGCGACUACCUGGCCUGUUCUUGACGCUGAGGCGCGAAAGGUAGGGGAGCAAACGGG
RNAcentral lists this ribosomal RNA (253 nucleotides) under uncultured bacterium. RNAcentral describes it as "partial 16S ribosomal RNA". It matches the Rfam family "Bacterial small subunit ribosomal RNA", at positions 524 to 776 of the family's 1533-position model. The record is from RNAcentral.